This 468-nucleotide ribosomal RNA is filed under the name uncultured bacterium. Its description in RNAcentral is "partial 16S ribosomal RNA". It matches the Rfam family "Bacterial small subunit ribosomal RNA", at positions 28 to 507 of the family's 1533-position model. The record is from RNAcentral.
GACGAACGCUGGCGGCGUGCUUAACACAUGCAAGUCGAACGGAAAGGCCCUGCUUUUGUGGGGUGCUCGAGUGGCGAACGGGUGAGUAACACGUGAGUAACCUGCCCUUGACUUUGGGAUAACUUCAGGAAACUGGGGCUAAUACCGGAUAGGGGCUCCUGCUGCAUGGUGGGGGUUGGAAAGUUUCGGCGGUUGGGGAUGGACUCGCGGCUUAUCAGCUUGUUGGUGGGGUAGUGGCUUACCAAGGCUUUGACGGGUAGCCGGCCUGAGAGGGUGACCGGCCACAUUGGGACUGAGAUACGGCCCAGACUCCUACGGGGGGCAGCAGUGGGGAAUAUUGCACAAUGGGCGGAAGCCUGAUGCAGCAACGCCGCGUGCGGGAUGACGGCCUUCGGGUUGUAAACCGCUUUCGCCUGUGACGAAGCGUGAGUGACGGUAAUGGGUAAAGAAGCACCGGCUAACUACGUG